This 253-nucleotide ribosomal RNA is filed under the name uncultured bacterium. RNAcentral's name for it is "partial 16S ribosomal RNA". It matches the Rfam family "Bacterial small subunit ribosomal RNA", at positions 524 to 776 of the family's 1533-position model. The record is from RNAcentral.
UACAGAGGGGGCAAGCGUUGUUCGGAAUUACUGGGCGUAAAGGGCGCGUAGGCGGCCUGCUAAGUCGAACGUGAAAUCCCUGGGCUCAACCCAGGAACUGCGUCCGAUACUGGUUGGCUUGAAUCCGGGAGAGGGAUGCGGAAUUCCAGGUGUAGCGGUGAAAUGCGUAGAUAUCUGGAGGAACACCGGUGGCGAAGGCGGCAUCCUGGACCGACAUUGACGCUGAUGAGCGAAAGCUAGGGGAGCAAACGGG